This 417-nucleotide ribosomal RNA is filed under the name uncultured bacterium. Its description in RNAcentral is "partial 16S ribosomal RNA". It matches the Rfam family "Bacterial small subunit ribosomal RNA", at positions 360 to 774 of the family's 1533-position model. The record is from RNAcentral.
AAUAUUGGUCAAUGGAGGCAACUCUGAUCCAGCCAUGCCGCGUGCAGGAUGACGGCCCUCGGGAUGUUAAGUACCUUUGGUACAGGAGGAAAGAGAGCUACGAGUAGCUGAUUGUCGGUACUGUAUGAGUAGGGUACGCCCAACCUAGUUCCGUCAGCCGCGGUAAUACGGAGGAUACAAGCGUUAUCCGGAAUAAUUGGGUUUAAAGGGUCCGUAGGCGGCCUUAUAAGUCAGCGGUGAAAGUUUAUGGCUUAACCAAAAAAUUGCCGUUGAAACUGCAGGGCUUGAGUUUUUGUGAAGGAACUAGAAUUUGAAGUGUAGCAGUGAAAUGCGUAGAUAUGAGAUGGAAUACCAAUGGCGAAGGCAGGUUACUAAGAAACUAUUGACGCUGAUGGACGAAAGCGUGGGUAGCGAACA